UUUUAAAAAAAAAAUUAUUAAUUUUGUUUGAUUUAUUUAUAUUUUUUAAUUUAAUUAAAAUUAUUUAAUUUUGUUUAAGUAUAUUUUAUAGAAAAAAUUUUUUGUUAUUAUAGUUUAAUAUUAUUGUAGAAGAAUUUUGAAAUAUUAUGAAAUUUAUUUAUUUAGAAGUAAUAUUUAAUUUGUGUACCUUGUGUAUCAGGGUUUAUUAAAAUUAUUUCAUUUAAAUUGAAUUUUUCUAAUUUGAAAGAUCUAAAUAUUUAUGAAAUUUUUAUUGUGUUAUUAAUAUUUUAAAUUUAUAUUUAGUAAUGAAAUGUUAUUCGUUUUUAAAGUUAUUUAAUUUUUUAAUAAAUAAAUUUAAUUUAUAUAUUAUUUUUGAAUUAAUAAUUUUUUAUUAUUAUUUUUAUUUAAUAUUUAUAUUUUAAGGGAUAAGCUUUAAAAUAAAUUAUUAUAAUAUUUUAUUUAUUAUUUUUGAAUUAAUAUUUUAUAGUCUUAAAAAUAGAUUUUAUAAAAAAAAAUGUUUUAAUUUAUUAUUGAUUUUAUAAAAUUUGUUAAUUAAUUUAAUUUUUUAUUAAAAUUUUUAAUUAAAUAAAUUUAUUUAAUUAAAAAUGAUAAAAUUAGUAUAUUUAUAUAUUUAUUUAAUUAAAAAUUAUUUGUUAGGUUAUAUUAAGGAAUUCGGCAAAAAUUUUAUAUUUGCUUGUUUAACAAAAACAUCGUUUUUUGAAUAUAAUUUAAAAUUUAAUCUGCUCAAUGAAUUUAUUAAUUUAAAUAGCCGCAGUAUUUUGACUGUGCAAAGGUAGCAUAAUAAUUAGUCUUUUAAUUGAAGGCUGGAAUGAAAGAUUUGACAUGAUAUAAACUGUCUUAAUUUAAAUUAAAAUUGAAUUUAAUUUUUAAGUUAAAAAGCUUAAAUUUUUUUAAAGGACGAGAAGACCCUAUAGAGUUUUAUAAUUUUUCUUAUUUAAUAAUUUUAAUUUUAUUUUAAAUAAGAAAAAUUAUUUUGUUGGGGUGAUAGAAAAAUUUAAUAAACUUUUUUAUAAAUUAUACAUUUAUUUAUGAAUUUUUGAUCCUGAAUUUUUUGGAUUAAUAGAUUAAAUUACCUUAGGGAUAACAGCGUAAUUUUUUUUAGAGUUCUUAUCGAUUUAAAAGAUUGCGACCUCGAUGUUGGAUUAAAAUUUAAUUUAGGUGAAGAAGCUUAAAAUUUAGGUCUGUUCGACCUUUAAAAUUUUACAUGAUCUGAGUUCAAACCGGUGUAAGCCAGGUUGGAUUCUAUCCUUAAAUUUUAUUAAAUUUUUAGUACGAAAGGAAUUAAAUUUAAAUUUGUAAUUUUUAUAAUUGAUUAAAAUUAAUAGGUUAA
RNAcentral lists this ribosomal RNA (1351 nucleotides) under Trichiosoma anthracinum. RNAcentral's name for it is "16S ribosomal RNA". The stretch from base 1101 to 1258 matches the Rfam family "Archaeal large subunit ribosomal RNA", at positions 2544 to 2703 of the family's 2987-position model. Lineage: Eukaryota; Metazoa; Arthropoda; Insecta; Hymenoptera; Cimbicidae. The record is from RNAcentral.